AUUGAACGCUGGCGGCAUGCCUUACACAUGCAAGUCGAACGGCAGCGCGGGAGCAAUCCUGGCGGCGAGUGGCGAACGGGUGAGUAAUACAUCGGAACGUGCCCAAUCGUGGGGGAUAACGCAGCGAAAGCUGUGCUAAUACCGCAUACGAUCUACGGAUGAAAGCAGGGGAUCGCAAGACCUUGCGCGAAUGGAGCGGCCGAUGGCAGAUUAGGUAGUUGGUGAGGUAAAGGCUCACCAAGCCUUCGAUCUGUAGCUGGUCUGAGAGGACGACCAGCCACACUGGGACUGAGACACGGCCCAGACUCCUACGGGAGGCAGCAGUGGGGAAUUUUGGACAAUGGGCGAAAGCCUGAUCCAGCCAUGCCGCGUGCAGGAUGAAGGCCUUCGGGUUGUAAACUGCUUUUGUACGGAACGAAACGGUCUUUUCUAAUAAAGAAGGCUAAUGACGGUACCGUAAGAAUAAGCACCGGCUAACUACG
This 482-nucleotide ribosomal RNA is filed under the name uncultured bacterium. Its description in RNAcentral is "partial 16S ribosomal RNA". It matches the Rfam family "Bacterial small subunit ribosomal RNA", at positions 30 to 505 of the family's 1533-position model. The record is from RNAcentral.